AGUGAACGCUGGCGGCAGGCCUAACACAUGCAAGUCGAACGGCAGCACAAGAGAGCUUGCUCUCUGGGUGGCGAGUGGCGGACGGGUGAGGAAUGCAUCGGAAUCUGCCCAUUUGUGGGGGAUAACCUCGGGAAACCGGGACUAAUACCGCAUACGACCUACGGGUGAAAGCAGGGGAUCUUCGGACCUUGCGCAGAUGGAUGAGCCGAUGCCGGAUUAGCUAGUUGGAGGGGUAAAGGCCCACCAAGGCGACGAUCCGUAGCUGGUCUGAGAGGAUGAUCAGCCACACUGGGACUGAGACACGGCCCAGACUUCUACGGGAGGCAGCAGUGGGGAAUAUUGGACAAUGGGCGCAAGCCUGAUCCAGCCAUGCCGCGUGUGUGAAGAAGGCCUUCGGGUUGUAAAGCACUUUUGUUGGGAAAGAAAAGCAGCCGGUUAAUACCCGGUUGUCAUGACGGUACCCAAAGAAUAAGCACCGGCUAACUUCGUG
RNAcentral lists this ribosomal RNA (490 nucleotides) under uncultured bacterium. Its description in RNAcentral is "partial 16S ribosomal RNA". It matches the Rfam family "Bacterial small subunit ribosomal RNA", at positions 29 to 507 of the family's 1533-position model. The record is from RNAcentral.